This 366-nucleotide ribosomal RNA is filed under the name uncultured Clostridium sp. RNAcentral describes it as "bacterial SSU rRNA". It matches the Rfam family "Bacterial small subunit ribosomal RNA", at positions 514 to 878 of the family's 1533-position model. Lineage: Bacteria; Bacillati; Bacillota; Clostridia; Eubacteriales; Clostridiaceae. The record is from RNAcentral.
GCCGCGGUAAUACGUAGGUGGCAAGCGUUGUCCGGAUUUACUGGGCGUAAAGGAUGCGUAGGCGGAUGUUUAAGUGAGAUGUGAAAUACCCGAGCUCAACUUGGGUGCUGCAUUUCAAACUGGAUAUCUAGAGUGCAGGAGAGGAAAGCGGAAUUCCUAGUGUAGCGGUGAAAUGCGUAGAGAUUAGGAAGAACACCAGUGGCGAAGGCGGCUUUCUGGACUGUAACUGACGCUGAGGCAUGAAAGCGUGGGGAGCAAACAGGAUUAGAUACCCUGGUAGUCCACGCCGUCAACGAUGAAUACUAGGUGUAGGAGGUAUCGACUCCUUCUGUGCCGCAGUUAACACAAUAAGUAUUCCGCCUGGGG